CCCAGACAGCCAGGAUGUUGGCUUAGAAGCAGCCAUCAUUUAAAGAAAGCGUAAUAGCUCACUGGUCGAGUCGGCCUGCGCGGAAGAUGUAACGGGGCUAAACCAUGCACCGAAGCUGCGGCAGCGACGCUGAUGCGUUGUUGGGUAGGGGAGCGUUCUGUAAGCCUGUGAAGGUGUGUCGUGAGGCAUGCUGGAGGUAUCAGAAGUGCGAAUGCUGACAUAAGUAACGAUAAAGCGGGUGAAAAGCCCGCUCGCCGGAAGACCAAGGGUUCCUGUCCAACGUUAAUCGGGGCAGGGUGAGUCGACCCCUAAGGCGAGGCCGAAAGGCGUAGUCGAUGGGAAACGGGUUAAUAUUCCCGUACUUGGUGUUACUGCGAAGGGGGGACGGAGAAGGCUAUGUUGGCCGGGCGACGGUUGUCCCGGUUUAAGCGUGUAGGUGUGUGUUCCAGGUAAAUCCGGUUCACUUUAACACUGAGGCGUGACGACGAGGCACUACGGUGCUGAAGCAACAAAUGCCCUGCUUCCAGGAAAAGCCUCUAAGCAUCAGGUAACACGAAAUCGUACCCCAAACCGACACAGGUGGUCAGGUAGAGAAUACCAAGGCGCUUGAGAGAACUCGGGUGAAGGAACUAGGCAAAAUGGUGCCGUAACUUCGGGAGAAGGCACGCUGACACGUAGGUGA
This 682-nucleotide ribosomal RNA is filed under the name Salmonella enterica. Its description in RNAcentral is "partial 23S ribosomal RNA". It matches the Rfam family "Bacterial large subunit ribosomal RNA", at positions 1084 to 1765 of the family's 2925-position model. Lineage: Bacteria; Pseudomonadati; Pseudomonadota; Gammaproteobacteria; Enterobacterales; Enterobacteriaceae. The record is from RNAcentral. RNAcentral also lists the same sequence under 4 other names.